AGGACUCCUUCUCCAAGAGCGGUGUUCUGCUUCCAGGAGGCUGCAUUCCAUCAGGGUAGAAUCAACCUGGGGAAGCCCUGGCUGCUCUCUGGAAGUGGCUGGCCUGAGUGAGAAACCUCACCAAGGGUACCUCUCCUUGUCUCUUAUCAGCACU
RNAcentral lists this long non-coding RNA (154 nucleotides) under Callithrix jacchus (white-tufted-ear marmoset). RNAcentral describes it as "lncRNA (ENSCJAG00000070226.1)". The record is from RNAcentral. Lineage: Eukaryota; Metazoa; Chordata; Mammalia; Primates; Cebidae.